RNAcentral lists this transfer RNA (84 nucleotides) under Microlunatus panaciterrae. Its description in RNAcentral is "tRNA-Leu". It matches the Rfam family "tRNA". From Rfam's summary of the family: Transfer RNA (tRNA) molecules are approximately 80 nucleotides in length. Their secondary structure includes four short double-helical elements and three loops (D, anti-codon, and T loops). Lineage: Bacteria; Bacillati; Actinomycetota; Actinomycetes; Propionibacteriales; Propionibacteriaceae. The record is from RNAcentral.
GCCGAAGUGGUGGAAUUGGCAGACACGCAGGAUUUAGGUUCCUGUGCCCAUUUGGGUGUGAGGGUUCAAGCCCCUCCUUCGGCA